AUUGAACGCUGGCGGCAGGCUUAACACAUGCAAGUCGAGCGGGGGAAGGUAGCUUGCUACCGGACCUAGCGGCGGACGGGUGAGUAAUGCUUAGGAAUCUGCCUAUUAGUGGGGGACAACAUCUCGAAAGGGAUGCUAAUACCGCAUACGUCCUACGGGAGAAAGCAGGGGAUCUUCGGACCUUGCGCUAAUAGAUGAGCCUAAGUCGGAUUAGCUAGUUGGUGGGGUAAAGGACUACCAAGGCGACGAUCUGUAGCGGGUCUGAGAGGAUGAUCCGCCACACUGGAACUGAGACACGGCCCAGACUCCUACGGGAGGCAGCAGUGGGGAAUAUUGGACAAUGGGGGGAACCCUGAUCCAGCCAUGCCGCGUGUGUGAAGAAGGCCUUAUGGUUGUAAAGCACUUUAAGCGAGGAGGAGGCUACUUUAGUUAAUACCUGGAGAUAGUGGACGUUACUCGCAGAAUAAGCACCGGCUAACUCUGUGCCAGCAGCCGCGGUAA
Molecule: ribosomal RNA, 501 nt
Filed under: uncultured bacterium
Lineage: Bacteria
Description: partial 16S ribosomal RNA
Rfam family: Bacterial small subunit ribosomal RNA
Source: RNAcentral